AUGAUCGAGCAUGGCACUUUCCCUUCGGUCAUGGAGGAGAGUGAUGAUGUGCCAUCUUCGGCCUUCAUCCACAGCGACGACAACGAGAUGGUUGAGCAUGGGAUUUUUCCUUCGACCACGGCGACCUAUGAUGACUUGAGUGAGUUUUGCCACCAUAUUGAGAGUGAGAGUGAGUUCACCACUAGCUCCAUAUAUGAUGAGUUGCCACAAUUCCCAUGUGAGGAGAGCCACACCCCCCACCACUUGUGUGAGAUGAGUGACUCCACCAUAUGUGACUUUGAGUGCACCUACUUUGAGGGAGUGAGUGAACCACCGCAUGGAGAGGGUGAGAUAGUUGAUAGGUCUCGUGAGGCCAUUUGCAUUUCUAACAACUUGACCUCUACCUCUCUUGUGUGUUCUCAUUUAGUGCUAGGUCCCAUUUAUGAUGACGUGCCGAUCCUCGACGACUUCGUCCUCCCUUUGGACAAGAUGAUGGCCAUGGUGGAAUAUGAUGCACCCCCACAUGGUUCCAUCAAGAUGAAGAUGACCACCAUUUGGUCUUUCCCACCUCACCUACACCACUUGAGUGCAAUGAACAAGGUGACAUAG
This 588-nucleotide ribosomal RNA is filed under the name Triticum aestivum (bread wheat). Its description in RNAcentral is "partial small subunit ribosomal RNA". The record is from RNAcentral. Lineage: Eukaryota; Viridiplantae; Streptophyta; Magnoliopsida; Poales; Poaceae.